GAUNAACGCUNGCGGCGUGCCUAAUACAUGCAAGUCGAACNCACUCUCGUUUAGAUUGAACGGAGCUUGCUCCGUGAUUGAUAAACAUUUGAACGNGUGNCGGACGGGUGAGUAACACGUGGGUAACCUGCCCUUAAGUGGGGGAUAACAUUUGGAAACAGAUGCUAAUACCGCAUAGAUCCAANGAACCGCAUGGUUCUUGGCUGAAAGAUGGCNNNAGCUAUCGCUUUUGGAUGGACCCGCGGCGUAUUAGCUAGUUGGUGAGGUAACGGCUCACCAAGGCAAUGAUACGUAGCCGAACUGAGAGGUUGAUCGGCCACAUUGGGACUGAGACACGGCCCAAACUCNNNGGGAGGCAGCAGNNGGGAAUCUUCCACAAUGGACGCAAGUCUGAUGGAGCAACGCCGCGUGAGUGAAGAAGGUUUUCGGAUCGUAAAACUCUGUUGUUGGAGAAGAAUGGUCGGCAGAGUAACUNUUGNCGGCGUGACGGUAUCCAACCAGAAAGCCACGGCUAACUACGUGCCAGCAGCCGCGGUANUACGUAGGUGGCAAGCGUUAUCCGGAUUUAUUGGGCGUAAAGCGAGCGCAGGCGGUUUCUUAAGUCUGAUGUGANANNCUUCGGCUCANNCGAGGAAGCGCAUCGGAAACUG
This 650-nucleotide ribosomal RNA is filed under the name Lacticaseibacillus casei. Its description in RNAcentral is "Lactobacillus casei partial 16S ribosomal RNA". It matches the Rfam family "Bacterial small subunit ribosomal RNA", at positions 28 to 635 of the family's 1533-position model. Lineage: Bacteria; Bacillati; Bacillota; Bacilli; Lactobacillales; Lactobacillaceae. The record is from RNAcentral.